GAAAUCGCCCAAAAAGCCACGGCCACCGAGCACCACGGUCACCAACGGGACCCCCACGGGACAGCCGGACACCGAACGGGGGCUCAGCAGCUGCCUCCUGGCCCUAUAACGCGGAGCUGACCCCAAAGAGCAGGAUUUGACCCAGGGGAUCAAAGGAGCCCAUCCCGCACCCUGCCAUUUCGGCACCAGCUCCCCUCUCGCUGGAAAAGCGCUCGCAGGAGUUUAAAAAUAAAAACCCCUUUUCCGCAGCGAUUUGGGAUCUUCCUCAAAAUAGAAGAAAAAAAAAUAAAAAUAAAAAUAAAAAGGGGACCAGAAAUUGGAACCGAAGUGCUCCUUGCCCCUGUGUCACUGUUCCGUAUCGCAUGCUCCUUGCUGCCUUUUUUUUUCCCUGCCGUUGUUUAAAGCCUCCGAGCGGUGGCACCGAUGCUCCCAGCGGCUCUCCCGACGUCCCAGACGAGCUCCCAGAAGAUUUUUUUAAGCCUGUGAUCCCAGGGCUGGGGCAGCUGGGCUUGAAAUUGCGAGCGAAAGCGACGCGGCGAGGGCGGAUGGAGGCGUGCUGGGGCGGCCACCUCCGCUCCCCGCGCCCCGCGAGGAAAUGUUGGAGGAACGGGAGGAAAAGGAAGCGUUCAGCCUAAAAACCAAAUAUCUUAAGGAAAAAAGAGCAAGAACAAGGCCGUCCGAAUGCACAGGGGCUGAGACGAGGACGUUGGAGACGAGGAUGUUGGAGAUGAAGAUGUUCAAGAUGAGGAUGUUGGAGACGAGGACGUUGGAGACGAGGACGUUGGAGAUGAGGACGUUCUCCACGAGAGGUGGCGCAGACUUUUGGGACCUCACCUCUCCCAUGGUGCUGGGAUGAAGCAGAGCCCCAAGCAGCUCUCCCCCCACUGCUCACCACGACCCCAAAGUCACCACCAGGUCCCUGGGAGAGUUCCUGGGGUGCCCAAGCCGAAGCCGAGCGGCGCUCGCAGGAUGGAUCGGCUCCGGUGCCGCCCCUGGGCGCAGUUUGGGCUCUGCCCGCUGGCACGGGACGACUCCAAGGCUCUUUGGGAUUUAGGGA
RNAcentral lists this long non-coding RNA (1057 nucleotides) under Anas platyrhynchos platyrhynchos (common mallard). RNAcentral's name for it is "lncRNA (ENSAPLG00000023070.1)". The record is from RNAcentral. Lineage: Eukaryota; Metazoa; Chordata; Aves; Anseriformes; Anatidae.